Molecule: long non-coding RNA, 1577 nt
Organism: Gasterosteus aculeatus aculeatus (three-spined stickleback)
Lineage: Eukaryota; Metazoa; Chordata; Actinopteri; Perciformes; Gasterosteidae
Source: Ensembl
UUUCCAGGAGUCAUGACAACGGGCCGUGGACCUUGAGGACGCUCAGCUGCUGCCAAUUACGCACCUGGCUCCAGUUCCCCAUCAGGGGGGUAUUUAAGAGCCGUCUGGAGAGCCAGUCCCUGCCGGAUCGUUAUGUGCCAGGACUUUGCCUGAGACUACCGUCGUCCACCCUGCUGCCUCACCAAGCCCCAGAAAACAGAACGUCUCGGACUACUGGUGUUUUUUUCAUUAUUUUUGGAUCUUUUGUGAAUGAACAAUUCUUUAUUCUCACCACCAAUCCAGUCUGCGUUUAGGUCCUGUUCGAGCUUGACAUGAUAAUUCUGAUUCUGAUUGAAGACAUUCCAAUUUGUGGAAAAAAUGGUCUUCUCAACCAAAAAUGUGCGAGGUUGAAGACCUCUGUAUUAAAGGAAUAUUUCUGUUUUCAGCGGCCUACUUGGAUUAUGUCUUUAGCUAGACGUGGGAAGAACAUGUUUCUCACCAACAGAUCUUCCACCAAGCCAGGACUGCAGGUCGAACUAUCAACUCACUAAAGUGUUCCUUUGCUUAUAAGAAGGUGGAAUACUUGGGCCACGUGGUUGGACAAGGGGCGGUCAAGCCUCAAUUAGGAAAGUUGAAUGCCAUGCAUUCAUAUCCUGUGCCCACCACCAAUAAGAUUAUUUGUGCUUUUAUGGGGCUUGUGGGGUGGUACAGCAAAUUCAUCCCCCACUUUAAUGAGAAGGAGCCAUACUCACGGACCUCAUGAAGGCCUCAGCCCUAAAGACAGUCAGAUGAAAUGAGGAAUGUGACCGGGACUUCAAAGACUUUAAGGGGACACACAAGUCAGUCUGUUCUCCACAGCCCUGACUUUUCACAACCUGUGUUUCUUCUUAGAUGUCAGACAGAUGUCUCAUGGCUAGGUUUGAGCAGUUUGACUUUGGGAGACGGAUGGAGACAUACCCUCGUGUCCCUAAGUCGUAAGCUCUUGGACCAAGAGACAAGGUACUCUACUGCGGAGAAAGAGUUCUUGUCCAUGAAGUUUGUCAUGUGGUACUACUUGCUGGGACGUCACUUUACCCAUGAGACGGAUCAUUGGGCUCUGCAGUGGCUGAUGAAGGAUUCCAACACAUGUCUCGCUGGGUGGUACCUGUCACCACAGCCAUAUGACUUUGCAGUCCAGUACCAUCCGGGGAAAGCCAACCUUGUCUGACCAGGCUCUCUCCAGAAUAUAUGAGGACUGACCAAAUGUAAAUGAGUGUGUAUACUAUAUGGAGCUCAAUUGUUUGGGUAAGGGAUGGGAGAGGACUGGUAGAGACUGAGGAUAACUGAUCGGUGAUGGUGAACGGUGCCAUUAGAAUAUGAAAAUAAAUAAAGCCUUGGUUUAAAACUGUGUCACAGCCUCCUGAUUUGUACAUUUGCCCCCUAUUUGCUCGGGCAUGCUGACAACACCAAAGACCAAUGAGAAAUGUAUUUUAGAAAUAUGAGGUUGCCGGCCUGCUCUGCCUGAUAUAUGGCCUGACACACAACUACACCAACACACACACACACACACGCACACACACACUUAAGCACCACCACUGGCAUGCACACAUACACAUGGC